GAUGAACGCUGGCGGCGUGCCUAAUACAUGCAAGUCGAGCGAACAGACGAGGAGCUUGCUCCUCUGACGUUAGCGGCGGACGGGUGAGUAACACGUGGAUAACCUACCUAUAAGACUGGGAUAACUUCGGGAAACCGGAGCUAAUACCGGAUAAUAUAUUGAACCGCAUGGUUCAAUAGUGAAAGACGGUUUUGCUGUCACUUAUAGAUGGAUCCGCGCCGCAUUAGCUAGUUGGUAAGGUAACAGCUUACCAAGGCAACGAUGCGUAGCCGACCUGAGAGGGUGAUCGGCCACACUGGAACUGAGACACGGUCCAGACUCCUACGGGAGGCAGCAGUAGGGAAUCUUCCGCAAUGGGCGAAGGCCUGACGGAGCAACGCCGCGUGAGUGAUGAAGGUCUUCGGAUCGUAAAACUCUGUUAUUAGGGAAGAACAAAUGUGUAAGUAACUAUGCACGUCUUGACGGUACCUAAUCAGAAAGCCACGGCUAACUACGUG
RNAcentral lists this ribosomal RNA (497 nucleotides) under uncultured bacterium. Its description in RNAcentral is "partial 16S ribosomal RNA". It matches the Rfam family "Bacterial small subunit ribosomal RNA", at positions 28 to 507 of the family's 1533-position model. The record is from RNAcentral.